AUGCCCUUGCAGAAGGAUUUACCGCCGAGGCACAGAGAUAGCAGUGUCCCCUCUCUUUCUGGGGCAGAUGGAGCUUCUGUGCCCAGCCGGCAGAGGGGGAGCCUUGGGCAAGGGACCAAGGGGUCCCUUGGGGGACCCCACAGAAAUGACACAGCCUGCCAGCUCCUUCGGGGCAGAGGGAGAGUCCCAGGGUGCUCAGGAGUGCUUGGCUCAGCAUUCCCAUCAUCUUCCUUCUCCGUCUCCUCCUCCUCCUCCUCCUCACACAGGCUCAACUUGGAGUUGCCAGAGGACAGCAGUGAGUCUACCACUUCUGACACGGAGAGUGAAACCAGCUGCUCUUCAGGAACCUCUCUGGACUCCUGGAGCAUCAUCUCCUGCACUACCAUCACGGAGAGCGAAACCGGACAGAAUUCACGGGCAUCUACCCCCACUCCUGUGCAGAAAGCAGACUGGCUUCAUGCUUCUGCGGUCCAGCCUGGCCUCAUGCAUCCCAAGGCUGGCCCAGGGGGGCAGCAUGACCAUGACACUUGCCAACCCUGCAGGAAAGAAGUGGUCAGAUGCCACAGGGCCAGCAGUGUGCACCAACACCAGCAACACGUCCAGGUCCAGCAGGCUGCUCCCAGCCAUCCUCCAGAGGUACCCAAAUUCCGCUCCAUGGAAAUGAAGACGUCUUUGACACAAAAGAAAUCCAAGGAGGCCUUGAACUACUUCACCUCAAAUAAGAAAGAGGAGCAGAAACUGCGCCUGCCAGCCGAUGGGGACAAGCCUCCACAAAAUGAUCCAGCCUCUGCUUCGAAAGUAUCGAAGCAAGAAGAAGAGCCUAAUAUGAAGGCGGUUCCCAUGGUGUGGGACCUGACCUUCUUAGACAAGGCUGUGAAAAAUCAGCUGGAGUGUGCAGUGGAAAAAAUGUAUAUCCAAAAGCAAUUUGGACUGUCAGAGAUGGUUUUCUCCUGUGAGGAGAGCUUUUCAGCCACUGUCCUGGAAGCAAGGACAGCUGUCCCAGCCACAGCUCCUCAACUACCCCAAUGGCAAGCAGAGCCACAUGUGGUGGUGACUCCUGUGGAGAAGGACCCACCCUGUGCGGAAAAGAUUGUGAACAGUCAUCCGGAGGGGCCUGAUGUACAAAAGCAGACACAAAGGCUCUUCAGGCUACCAAGAAAGAUCCUGGCUUCCAUGAAGAGAUUUUUUGACCACAUCCUGGGAAAAAAAGACUCCCAGACUGAGCCUGUCCACUCUGUGCCAGCAGCUGUUCUGAGAGGGGAACAAGGGAUGAAGCCUCAGGAGGAUGGGGACAGAUCCCGCCAGAAAAUGGCGUGUGGAGGAAGAGCCAACGGCAGCAGCACGGCCAGCAAGACGACCCUGCCUGGCACCAGCAAGAAGAACCGGGGCCCUGGGGCAGUAGGGGAUUCCCCUUCCACCCAGGCAGAGCAGGCGUCGCCACAGAGCAAGGGAGCUCGGUGGGGUCAGUCAGAUAAGAAGGGUGAGGGCCCAAGCAUCUCCACUACGGGGGACAUGGGGACACCAGCACCUCCAAGAAGAAGGUCCCCACAGAGAAAACACAGCUCCAAUGAGGACAGACCCUCAGCUCUGCCACGGCCUCCGCACCACAUUUGGAUCUGUCUUGAUAUGCCCCACAUGACAAAGGUCCUCGCAGCACCAAGAGACUGCCGCAAAGCCAAACAUAUUGCUGAAGAUCUGCAGAAGCAGGUGCUGGCUUCGCAGUUGGAGCAGCUCCCAGACAAUGCGGGGCAACCAAGGAUAGACCCAGCAGCAGAGGGCACCGGGGCCGUGCCACGCAGAAGACAUAGAGGGGCACGGAAGGACAAGGGAUGCUCCCAGGACAGACCCGUCUUCGCAAGACUCCGUCCUAAGUGCAUCAAAGCCCCAAGCCACACCUUGGUCCCGAAGGAGAGUAUCUGGGGGUGGCCUUCCCCUGAGGCUUUCAGAGGCAGCAUGGGCUGCCAAGCUACCUGGAGGUGAGUGUGGCAGAGAAUCAUAAAGUCAGAGAAUAACAGAAUAGCUUGGUUUGGAAGGGGCCUUAAAGAUCAUCCUAUUCCAAUCCCCCUGCCAUGGGCAGGGACGCCACCCACUAGAUCAGGCUGCCCAGGGCCUCAUCCAGUCUGCCCUUGAACAUCCCCAGGGGUGGGGUAUCUGCAACUUCUCUGGGCAACCUGUGCCAGUGCCUCACCACCCUCUGAGAGAAGAAUUUCCCCCUAAUGUCCAGACUAAAUCUAUCCUCUUUUAAGACCAUUCCCCCUUGCUCUGUCGUUAUCUACCCAAGUAAGGAGUCCUCCUCCAUCUUUUUUAUGAGACCCCUUUAAGUAUGAAAUGGUCAUAAUGAGGUCUCCCCUGAGCCUUCUCUUCUUCAGGCUGAACAUCCCCAGCUCUCUCAGCCUUUCUUCAUAGGAGAGGUGCUCCAGCCCUCUGAUGGUCUUUGUAGGCCUCCUGUGCACUCACUCUAACAGGUUCACAUUUGUUGUGCUGGGGGCCUCAGACCUGGACGCAGUGCCCCGCGUGGGGCCUCACAAGGGCAGUGCAGAGGGGGACAAUCACCUCCCUCCACCUGCUGGCCACUGCUCUGCUGAUGCAGCCCGGGAUGCAGUUGGCCUUCUGGGCUGCAAGCCUGCACUGCUGGCUCACGUUGAGCUUUUCAUCUACCAGAACCCCCAAGUCCUUCUCUGCAGGGCUGCUCUCAAUGAGUUCUUCUCUCAGUCCGUCCUCAAGUCUGGGAUUGCCCUGACCCCGGUGCAGCACCAUGCGUUUGGACUUGUUGAACCUCAUUAGGUUCCCAUGGGCCCACUUCUUUAGGCGCUGUCUAGGUCCCUUUGGAUGGCAUCCCUUCCUUCUGUUGUAUCAACUGCACCACUCAGCUUGGUGCCAUCUGCAAACUUGCUGAGGGUGCACUCAAUCCCAUCGUCUGCAUCACUGAUGAAGAUAUUAAAAAGCACCGGUCCCAGGACAGACCCCUGAGGGACACCGC
Anser cygnoides (Swan goose) is the source of this 2980-nucleotide long non-coding RNA. NCBI's taxonomy places the organism in Eukaryota, Metazoa, Chordata, Aves, Anseriformes, Anatidae. The record is from Ensembl.